This is a long non-coding RNA of Macaca fascicularis (crab-eating macaque), 1649 nucleotides long. The record is from Ensembl. Lineage: Eukaryota; Metazoa; Chordata; Mammalia; Primates; Cercopithecidae.
GCCGCCGCCGCCGCCGCCGCCAGGACUCUCAGAGCUGGUUUUAAUGGGCAGCUCCCUCUUCGCCGUCCCCCCCGUGUGUCCCCUCCCUCGAUUUCGCUCCGAGGACGAGAUGGACAUUUAUUCUACGUUUGCCAUCCGCCGCCUCCCUCUUUUUUCCUCCUCGUCGUUCUUCCUUUCCCCAGCUCGAAAAUAAACUGAAACCUUCUUUUGGAGGGGGGUGCGCGUGAGGAACAGACUGCGGGGGUGUCCAGAAGGAGCACCAGUGGGAGUGUGGACACCGGCCGGACUGUCAACUCCAGGGGCUAAAGGAACCCGCACACCCAGUGUUUUCUCCUUCGCAGUAAUCGAGAUCCCGCGCGGCGCAGCGCGGCCACCAGGAAUCGACGGGAUUUCUCUGGCUGUCGUUUGCGCUGCAUUUAUCCGAAUAAAUCCAGCUCGCAGACAUCCUGCAGGAAACGGCUCCCGGCUCGCGUGUACGCCGACACCUCGGCCCAACGCGGGACUCGAGGUGGCUCCUAGUGCCUGGGCGGCUGCUAGUCCGGCCUCCGAGGGAGGCUGGACAAGCGGCGCCCCCAGGUCGAGCGGCCUCUCACUGCCUGGCAGCCCCCAGCUCUGACGGUGCUUCGGAAACCCGCCUGGCCAGGUUCGCCCGCAGUGAAAAAUGAAAGCAAAUUCCCCUACAGAGGUAGCCCGAACUUUCCUUGACGAAGGCUCUCUCUUGAGCCUGGAUCUCGAAGAAACUCCAGAGCGCUGCAAGUUAGCAACAGAGAUUCGAUGGCGGCUCCGGAGGGCGCGCGAAGGGUGGGGCGAGGGGGCAAAAAGGACACUGGGUGACCCAGCCUGGCCCAGGGCGAAACGCAAGAGAAGGAGCCUCGCCUUCCUUAUUUCAAUGCAACUCCUCGGCCCUAGACGGUAAAAAUAGUUUCCAAGCUGCCGCGGACGCCCAGGAUGUGUUUGCAGAGAUCAAACUGGGGAGGAAGCGGCUUUGUAAAAGUUGCAGAAAGAUUAGCCCAGAAGCGUCCGCCCGGCGGGGCUCAAGAAAGCUUGGGGACAGCUUCACGUUCCUUGGGGCGGAAUGGCCCAAGAAUUGGCCUGGGUAACCCCCUGCCCAGUUCUCCGUGCUCACUUCGAGCCAGCGCUUAAAUAACUUCCCGCCGCCUGCCCUGCAAACUUCCAGGCGCGGCGCCGGCGAGGCCAGGACACAGCAAAGGCUAGCAAAACCCCGCCACGGCGCGCUCGGCCCCAGCCAUGAGAGUCUGCACGGGGUGGGAGAACCAGUGUGGUUUCCGCUCCCACUCGGCUGCCCAGACCCUCAAGACCGAUUCCCCCAACUCCUGGGAGCGGGUGCUUCCCUCUGGGAGUCGAGAUCUUGCGGGGCCGGCGAGGGCGCAAAGUGCGCUGCUAGCCAAGGCGCGGGGCGGCCGCGUCUCUCCGCGGGGCCUGUCGCCAGGCCGGCCGCGGCGGGUGAGUGAUGAGGGCAGAGAAGGGCGCCCAUAAAUCGCGGGUGUCAGGGCGAAAAACUCUCUUUAUUGUCUGCGUGAUGGAUGGGCCCGGGGACGAGACACCAAAUACUUCGUAUCGCCUUUAAAUGGGAACACAUUUUCCGCGGCCAUAAUUCAUGUUUUUUAAAUAGAAAGUUUGAAAUGUUG